AUUCAGUUGACGAGUUCCAAAGAAGACGAAACAUGCGUCAUGGAU
Molecule: non-coding RNA, 45 nt
Filed under: Schistosoma mansoni
Lineage: Eukaryota; Metazoa; Platyhelminthes; Trematoda; Strigeidida; Schistosomatidae
Source: RNAcentral